UACAGAGGUCUCAAGCGUUGUUCGGAUUCAUUGGGCGUAAAGGGUGCGUAGGUGGCGCCGUAAGUCAGGUGUGAAAUUUCGGAGCUUAACUCCGAAACUGCAUUUGAUACUGCGGUGCUUGAGGACUGGAGAGGAGAUUGGAAUUCACGGUGUAGCAGUGAAAUGCGUAGAUAUCGGGAGGAAGACCAGUGGCGAAGGCGGAUCUCUGGACAGUUCCUGACACUGAGGCACGAAGGCUAGGGGAGCAAACGGG
This 253-nucleotide ribosomal RNA is filed under the name uncultured bacterium. RNAcentral describes it as "partial 16S ribosomal RNA". It matches the Rfam family "Bacterial small subunit ribosomal RNA", at positions 524 to 776 of the family's 1533-position model. The record is from RNAcentral.